This 71-nucleotide small RNA is filed under the name Hyella patelloides LEGE 07179. RNAcentral's name for it is "Cyano-1". It matches the Rfam family "Cyano-1 RNA". The record is from RNAcentral. Lineage: Bacteria; Bacillati; Cyanobacteriota; Cyanophyceae; Pleurocapsales; Pleurocapsaceae.
UGGCGUGUGAGGAGCGAACUAGGAAAGAGAGUCGAGACGAAACACGGCAAGUCGUCGGCUCUUUUUCUUAU